Small nuclear RNA from Acomys russatus (golden spiny mouse), 105 nucleotides. NCBI's taxonomy places the organism in Eukaryota, Metazoa, Chordata, Mammalia, Rodentia, Muridae. The record is from RefSeq and is a predicted model, not a curated record.
GUGUUUGCUUUGGCAACACAUAUAUGAAAAUUGGAAUGUUCCAGAAGAUUAGCAUGGCCCCCGUGUGAGGAUGACAUGCAAAUUUGAGAAGUGUUCUACUUAAAA